AAAAAAGCGAUAACCGUGUAUAGUAGAGAACCAUUUUCUAUCAGAGAGAGAAAAUCACUGGCUGCAAGUUUUCUUUAGUUCAGAUGGCAAUCGAAAUUCCCACGAUAGCUGCGUUCUUGAAACAAUAGUAGAGAAUGCCGUAUGUUGUACGUUACACAAAGCUAAGAGCCUGCAGGAUCACUGUGGGAAUUAGGGUGGUACCGCGAAUGUUGAACUUCGUCCCUUUC
RNAcentral lists this non-coding RNA (227 nucleotides) under Clostridium sp. RNAcentral describes it as "T-box sequence". It matches the Rfam family "T-box leader". Rfam says of the family: Uncharged tRNA acts as the effector for transcription antitermination of genes in the T-box leader family. T-boxes are found upstream of many aminoacyl-tRNA synthetase genes and some amino acid biosynthetic genes usually in Gram-positive bacteria. The anticodon of a specific tRNA base pairs to a specifier sequence within the T-box motif, and the NCCA acceptor tail of the tRNA base pairs to a conserved bulge in the T-box antiterminator hairpin. Lineage: Bacteria; Bacillati; Bacillota; Clostridia; Eubacteriales; Clostridiaceae. The record is from RNAcentral.